Haliotis rufescens (red abalone) is the source of this 482-nucleotide long non-coding RNA. RefSeq lists it as uncharacterized. NCBI's taxonomy places the organism in Eukaryota, Metazoa, Mollusca, Gastropoda, Lepetellida, Haliotidae. The transcript is spliced from 3 exons. The record is from RefSeq and is a predicted model, not a curated record.
UACCCGCUACAGCAUAAAUCACUGUAAAGGAUUCCUAAUAUUUAUAGUGAAUCCCGAAACAACGCCUACAUACACCGGUAUAUAAACACAUGGAACCUUCGUCAGCUGUAAGCAACGCUGGCUGGAAAAGGGAUACCGCAUCACGAUGAAGCUCGUGUUUCUUCUGCUCGUGUGUGUCAUUGUGACACUGAAUGCACAGACAGCAACAACUCAAACUCCAGUACCUCAGACAUACCCCCCAUACCAGCCAUACCAGCCAUACCAGCCAUACAACCCCUGGGGGUAUCAACCUCGUCCUAAUUUCUUCAGCCCGCAGAAUUUCUUCUGGUACUGGUUCAUGUCGCAGAAUAAUUAGUUCUUGGAUCAAACAGUUCCCUGCAACUGCAGACUGUACAGGUCACGUGACACGUGACGUCACGUUGUGGACAAUAUGCAUUAUUCUGUAGAUACGUAAACUUCAAUAAAACAGCUUUUAGUUUUCA